AUGGGUCGGCCCACCCUACGCCAACGACGGACGGGAGCGAUCGAUCCAUAUGCCGCUGUUCUCCGGCGGCCGCCACUCCGGAGAACACGACGCUCGCGCCGACGAACCGCACGGUGCUGCCACACGGCGCGGGAGGGUCUAAUCCUAACAACCGGGAGGCCAACCCCUGCAGGUCUCUUCGCCUGCUCCUCCCACCUCGCGGCGGCCUCCUCCUUUUGCUCCCCCCUCUCCGCCUUCGGAGAACUGUCUCCAGCCGCCAUGGCGGUGGGGGCGCAGCAGCCGAGCAUAGUGCUCACAGAGCUGGAGCAGCGGAUUUUCGGGCGCCUUCUCGAUGUUGUCCACCACCGAGGCCUCGGCACCCAGCUCCGCGUCGCCGGCGGAUGGGUCAGAGACAAGCUAUUGGGGAAAGACUCUACCGACAUCGACAUCGCGCUUGAUGAUAACAUGACCGGCGUAAAAUUUUGUGGGGAAAUAACUAAGUACUACAAGGUGAUCGGUCAGGAGCUGGAAGAACCUUGUAUUAUCCCAUGCAAUCCUGGCCAAUCUAAGCACUUGGAAACCGCAAGGAUAUGUCUAUCUGACAUCUCUAAAAUCUCGAUUGAUUUUGUCAACUUGAGGACCGAAAAAUAUGCUGAAAACAGUCGUAUUCCCACUGUGGAGGAUGGUACGCCUGAAGAAGAUGCAUUCCGCAGGGACCUGACAAUUAAUAGUUUAUUCUAUAAUAUCAACACGAAAUCGGUGGAAGAUUUAACUCGAAGAGGUCUUGAAGAUCUGAACGCAGGCCUUAUUGUUACUCCUUUACCAGCCAAAGUUACAUUCCUCGAUGAUCCCCUGAGGGUUCUUCGAGCAAUCCGAUUUGCUGCUAGAUUCAGCUUUACAUUAGCUGAAAAUUUAAGGGAAGCCGCUUCUGAUGAAAAAGUGAAGUUGAAUCUUGGUAGCAAGAUUAGCAGAGAACGUAUUGGUCAGGAGGUUGAGCACAUGAUGUCAGACAAAUAUCCGGUUGAUGCAAUGUGCCAUAUCCGUGAUUUGGGAUUAUUUUACGUUGUUUUUGCAUUUCCUGAGAAAACAGUUCCUCCAGUUCUCAACAAACAUGAUUGGCUAUGUGUUUCACAUAUUGAAGCAGCAUGGAAUCUUGCACAAUCAAUUGGCUGCUCUGUUUUCAGAGGUGGUUCUGGUUCAAUGUCGCAGGAUGAACAGAGAAGGCUUUGCAUGUAUAGUGCACUAUUUACUCCAGUUCGAAAUAUGGUGUACACGAAGAAAAAGGAGGUUGUUCGCUAUAUUAUUGGAAACUCUCUAAAGUUGAAUGGUUCUGAUGCUGAAGCGAUUGUCCGAAUACAUGCUGCAAGUGACAAGUUUGCCGAUUUAAUUAUUUUCCUCGAGUCAAACGGAAAUCUGGAAACUGUCAAAGAGAACCCGAACGACAAAUAUCUUGAGAUACCAACAGACAUGGUAGCACGUGUUUUGGCAGGACUUACACUCCUUGGAAUAAAGGACCUUUGGCGUCUGGCGCUGUUGAUAUCCACUCUGUCAUAUCCAGAAGUCCUCAGUGCUAAUGGUUCCUUAAGCCAGCAGGAUAAGCUAAAUAGAAGGAAAGAGAUAUAUAUCAGAGUUGAGCGUUUAAUAACCGACCUCGAUCUUGAAGGUGUAUGGAAGAUAGGUAUAAAACUGCUGCUCGAUGGGAACGACAUUAUGGGAGUUUUGGACAUCGGAGAAGGUCCCUUGGUUAAAGAAUGGAAAGAAAGGCUAGUGAAGUGGCAGCUUGCGCAUCCCAAAGGUACCGCGGAGGAGUGCCAUGAGUGGAUGAAGCAGUCCAAACUUCAGAAAAAAGAAAUGUAG
RNAcentral lists this ribosomal RNA (1836 nucleotides) under Triticum aestivum (bread wheat). RNAcentral describes it as "partial small subunit ribosomal RNA". The record is from RNAcentral. Lineage: Eukaryota; Viridiplantae; Streptophyta; Magnoliopsida; Poales; Poaceae.